GACGAACGCUGGCGGCGUGCUUAACACAUGCAAGUCGAACGGAAAGGCCCUGCCUUUGUGGGGUGCUCGAGUGGCGAACGGGUGUGUAACCCGUGAGUAACCUGCCCUUGCCUUUGGGAUCACUUCUGGAAACUGGGGCUAAUACCGGAUAGGCGAUCCUGCUGCAUGGUGGGGGUUGGAACGUUUCGGCGGUUGGGGAUGGACACGCGGCUUAUCAGCUUGUUGGUGGGGUAGUGGCUUCACAAGGCUGUGACGGGUAGCCAGACUGAGAGGGUGACCGGCGACGUUGUGACUCAAAUACAGCCCGCACGGCUACGGGGGGCAGCAGUGCAGAAUGUUGCACAAGGGGCGGAAGCCUGGUGAAACAACACCGCGUGCGGGAUGACGGCCUUUAGGUGAUAAUUCGGUGGCGCCUGUGACGAAGCGUGAGUGACGGUAAUUUGUAAAGAAGCACCGACUAACUACGUG
This 468-nucleotide ribosomal RNA is filed under the name uncultured bacterium. RNAcentral describes it as "partial 16S ribosomal RNA". It matches the Rfam family "Bacterial small subunit ribosomal RNA", at positions 28 to 507 of the family's 1533-position model. The record is from RNAcentral.